UACGAAGGGGGCUAGCGUUGCUCGGAAUCACUGGGCGUAAAGCGCACGUAGGCGGAUUGUUAAGUCGGGGGUGAAAUCCUGGAGCUCAACUCCAGAACUGCCUUCGAUACUGGCGAUCUCGAGUCCGGGAGAGGUGAGUGGAACUCCGAGUGUAGAGGUGAAAUUCGUAGAUAUUCGGAAGAACACCAGUGGCGAAGGCGGCUCACUGGCCCGGUACUGACGCUGAGGUGCGAAGGCCAGGGGAGCAAACGGG
RNAcentral lists this ribosomal RNA (253 nucleotides) under uncultured bacterium. RNAcentral's name for it is "partial 16S ribosomal RNA". It matches the Rfam family "Bacterial small subunit ribosomal RNA", at positions 524 to 776 of the family's 1533-position model. The record is from RNAcentral.